GAUGAACGCUGACAGAAUGCUUAACACAUGCAAGUCAUUGGCGAAGCUGCGCUUGCGCAGUCUAGCCAAGGCGGACGGGUGAGUAACGCGUAAGGAACUUGCCCUGCAGACAGGGAUAACAGACGGAAACGACUGAUAACACCUGGUAUUGUCAGGCUGGCGCAUGCCGGCCUGAUGAAAGGAGACGCUGCAGGAGAGCCUUGCGUCCUAUUAGCUAGUUGGUGGGGUAACGGCCCACCAAGGCGAUGAUAGGUAGCCGGCCUGAGAGGGUGAACGGCCACAAGGGGACUGAGAGACGGCACUUACUCCUACGGGAGGCAGCAGUGGGGAAUAUUGGACAAUGGGGGCAACCCUGAUCCAGCAAUUCUGUGUGCACGAAGAAGGUUUUCGGAUUGUAAAGUGCUUUCAGCAGGGAAGAAGAAAGUGACGGUACCUGCAGAAGAAGCGACGGCUAAAUACGUG
This 462-nucleotide ribosomal RNA is filed under the name uncultured bacterium. RNAcentral's name for it is "partial 16S ribosomal RNA". It matches the Rfam family "Bacterial small subunit ribosomal RNA", at positions 28 to 507 of the family's 1533-position model. The record is from RNAcentral.